RNAcentral lists this ribosomal RNA (468 nucleotides) under uncultured bacterium. RNAcentral describes it as "partial 16S ribosomal RNA". It matches the Rfam family "Bacterial small subunit ribosomal RNA", at positions 28 to 507 of the family's 1533-position model. The record is from RNAcentral.
GACGAACGCUGGCGGCGUGCUUAACACAUGCAAGUCGAACGGAGAGGCCCUGCUUUUGUGGGGUGCUAGAGAGGCGAACCGGAGAGGAACACGAGAGUAACCUGACCUGGACUUUGGGAUAACUUCAGGAAACUAUGGCUAAUACCGGAUAGGAGCUCCUGCUGAUUGGUGUGGGAUGGAAAGUUUCGGCGGUUGGGGAUGGACUCGCGGAUUAUCAGCUUGUUGGUGGGGUAGUGGCUUACCAAGGCUUUGACGGGUCGCCGGCCUGAGAGGGUGACCGGCCCCAUUGGGACGGAGAUACGGCCCGGACUCCUACGGGAGGGAGCGGAGGGGUAUAUUGUACUAUGGGAGGAAGCCUGCUGUGGCACAGCCGCGUGGGGUAUGACGGCAAUCGAGUUGUAACCCACUUUCGCCUUUGACGAAGCGUGAGUGACGGUAAUGGGUAAAGAAGCACCGGCUAACUACGUG